AUAGAGCAACUGCCUUCUAAGCAGUGGGUCACUGGUUCGAAUCCAGUUGGACGUGCCA
Molecule: transfer RNA, 58 nt
Filed under: Akkermansia sp.
Lineage: Bacteria; Pseudomonadati; Verrucomicrobiota; Verrucomicrobiia; Verrucomicrobiales; Akkermansiaceae
Description: tRNA-Ser
Rfam family: tRNA
About the family: Transfer RNA (tRNA) molecules are approximately 80 nucleotides in length. Their secondary structure includes four short double-helical elements and three loops (D, anti-codon, and T loops).
Source: RNAcentral